Molecule: ribosomal RNA, 441 nt
Filed under: uncultured bacterium
Lineage: Bacteria
Description: partial 16S ribosomal RNA
Rfam family: Bacterial small subunit ribosomal RNA
Source: RNAcentral
CCUACGGGAGGCAGCAGUGGGGAAUAUUGCACAAUGGGGGAAACCCUGAUGCAGCGACGCCGCGUGAGUGAAGAAGUAUUUCGGUAUGUAAAGCUCUAUCAGCAGGGAAGAAAAUGACGGUACCUUACUAAGAAGCCCCGGCUAACUACGUGCCAGCAGCCGCGGUAAUACGGGGGAUGCAAGCGUUAUCCGGAUUUAUUGGGUUUAAAGGGUGCGUAGGCUGUGAGGUAAGUCAGCGGUGAAAUGCCCCCGCUCAACGAGGUGGAGUGCCAUGUAUACUGCCUUGCUGGAAUGCGGAUGCCGUAGGAGGAAUGUGUGGUGUAGCGGUGAAAUGCAUAGAUAUCACACAGAACACCGAUUGCGAAGGCAUGUCACGAAUCCGCGAUUGACGCUGAUGCACGAAAGCGUGGGUAUCAAACAGGAUUAGAUACCCUUGUAGUC